CCUACGGGUGGCAGCAGUGGGGAAUAUUGCUCAAUGGGCGAAAGCCUGAAGCAGCGACGCCGCGUGGAGGAUGAAGGUUUUAGGAUUGUAAACCCCUUUUGUGAGAGAAGAAAAUGAAGGUAUCUCACGCAUAAGCACCGGCUAACUCCGUGCCAGCAGCCGCGGUAAUACGGCGGGUGAAAGCGUUACUCGGAAUCAAUGGGCGGAAGGGGUUCGUAGGAGGGAUUGUAAGUCAGAGGUGAAAUCCUGGGGCUUAACUACGGAACUGCAUUUGAAACUCUGAGUCUAGAGUGUGUGAGAGGUAAGUGGAAUUCUAGGUGUAGGAGUAAAAUCCGUAGAGAUCUAGAGGAACA
This 353-nucleotide ribosomal RNA is filed under the name uncultured bacterium. Its description in RNAcentral is "partial 16S ribosomal RNA". It matches the Rfam family "Bacterial small subunit ribosomal RNA", at positions 338 to 708 of the family's 1533-position model. The record is from RNAcentral.